Molecule: ribosomal RNA, 388 nt
Filed under: uncultured bacterium
Lineage: Bacteria
Description: bacterial SSU rRNA
Rfam family: Bacterial small subunit ribosomal RNA
Source: RNAcentral
GACGAACGCUGGCGGCGUGCUUAACACAUGCAAGUCGAGCGGUAAGGCCCUUUCGGGGGUACACGAGCGGCGAACGGAUGAGUAACACGUGGGUGACCUGCCCUCAGCUCUGGGAUAAGCCUGGGAAACCGGGUCUAAUACUGGAUAUGACUCCAUGACGCAUGUUGUGGGGUGGAAAGCCUUGUGCGGCUGAGGAUGGGCCCGCGGCCUAUCAGCUUGUUGGUGGGGUGAUGGCCUACCAAGGCGACGACGGGUAGCCGGCCUGAGAGGGCGACCGGCCACACUGGGACUGAGACACGGCCCAGACUCCUACGGGAGGCAGCAGUGGGGAAUCUUGCGCAAUGGGCGAAAGCCUGACGCAGCGACGCCGCGUGAGGGAUGACGGCCU